GUAGUCCACGCUGUAAACGAUGAGAACUAGAUGAUGGAUAGGUUAGACCUAUUUGGUAUCGCAGCUAACGCGUUAAGUUCUCCGCCUGGGGAGUACGGUCGCAAGAUUAAAACUCAAAGAAAUUGACGGGGACCCGCACAAGCGGUGGAGCAUGUGGUUUAAUUCGAUGCAACGCGAAGAACCUUACCUACCCUUGACAUGUAUAGAAGCCUGGAGAGAUUCAGGCGUGCCCGCGAGGGAGCUAUAACACAGGUGCUGCAUGGCUGUCGUCAGCUCGUGUCGUGAGAUGUUGGGUUAAGUCCCGUAACGAGCGCAACCCUUGUCCUUAGUUGCCAACACGUGAUGGUGGGAACUCUAAGGAGACUGCUGGUGAUAAACCGGA
Molecule: ribosomal RNA, 382 nt
Filed under: uncultured bacterium
Lineage: Bacteria
Description: bacterial SSU rRNA
Rfam family: Bacterial small subunit ribosomal RNA
Source: RNAcentral